RNAcentral lists this ribosomal RNA (253 nucleotides) under uncultured bacterium. RNAcentral describes it as "partial 16S ribosomal RNA". It matches the Rfam family "Bacterial small subunit ribosomal RNA", at positions 524 to 776 of the family's 1533-position model. The record is from RNAcentral.
AACGUAGGAGACAAACGUUAUCCGGAGUUACUGGGCGUAAAGGGCGUGUAGGUGGUAGAGUAAGUCCGCUGUGAAAGUCGGGGGCUCAACCCUCGAAUGCCGGUGGAUACUGUCGGGCUAGAGUGCGGAAGAGGCGAGUGGAAUUCCUGGUGUAGCGGUGAAAUGCGCAGAUAUCAGGAGGAACACCUAUUGCGAAGGCAGCUCGCUGGGACGUAACUGACGCUGAGACGCGAAAGCGUGGGGAGCAAACAGG